CCUACGGGUGGCAGCAGUCGAGAAUUUUUCUCAAUGGGCGAAAGCCUGAAGGAGCGACGCCGCGUGGGGGAUGAAGAGCUUCGGUUUGUAAACCCCUGUCAUUUGCGAACAAACCCUCCGGCAUAACACGUCGGAGGCUGAUAGUAGCAGAAGAGGAAGGGACGGCUAACUCUGUGCCAGCAGCCGCGGUAAUACAGAGGUCCCGAGCGUUGUUCGGAUUCACUGGGCGUAAAGGGUGCGUAGGCGGUGAGGCAAGUUUGAGGUGAAAUCUCCAGGCUUAACCUGGAAAAUGCCUUGAAGACUGCCCUGCUAGAGGAUCGGAGGGGAGGCUGGAAUUCUCGGUGUAGCAGUGAAAUGCGUAGAUAUCGAGAGGAACACCAGUGGCGAAGGCGAGUCUCUGGACGAUUCCUGACGCUGAGGCACGAAAGCCAGGGGAGCAAACGGGAUUAGAUACCCGUGUAGUC
This 464-nucleotide ribosomal RNA is filed under the name uncultured bacterium. RNAcentral describes it as "bacterial SSU rRNA". It matches the Rfam family "Bacterial small subunit ribosomal RNA", at positions 338 to 795 of the family's 1533-position model. The record is from RNAcentral.